UGGUCCUGCUCAGACCAGCCCUCACCACCCCUCCGGAGCAGUGUGAUUCUCAUUAAACGAGAAUUAGGCAUAGAAGAAAGUGAAAGGAGAGCUCAAGAAGGGGAACUUCUUAUCAGGUGUGUCACCAAUACUGGCUGUAAACGGGGCUUUUACUGCUGCUGCCACUCACAGCUUGGGGAACAUGUUGCUUCUCAUAGAUUGGUGAGUCAGAAAAGAGAGUUAAAUUUAUGCUUUAAAGAGAAGCAGGCAGGCCAAGAGGGUGCCCCUGCAGACUAAAAGGCACCUGCUUGUGCUAAGAGUUGCACAAAGCCUGAUUAAAUAUUCAGAAAGGUCUUCAUUUAAUGACUUGAGAGCUCUGUAAUUUGUAAUUUAUUUCUUUUGGGUUUUUGCUUCAUAACUUUUUGGCAAAUGUAAAUUAAUUCUCUUUUUUGCCUGGUGUUAUCUCCCAUGUAUCUGCAUUUUAAAGGGAAACUCAGGGCUACAUUUAUCUUCCUUCUGUGGUUCAUGAUUAACUGGUCAUACUGUGUGAAUUUUAUCACUAAAAAACAAAAAAGCCAAACAAAACCCCAAACAAAUAAAAGAACAACCUAGAAAAAAUUACACACCUGCAUUUUGCAAUUUUUAUAAAAAUAUUACAGUACUGAACUCACCAGGUAUUUUCCAAAGUCUAGUAAAAUCAGUCCUUAUAGCACCGGUGAAUCACAUUGCAAAAAUGAGGAACAUAAAUAGCCUUCAGUAUCAAUUACAGGAAUUAACAGCAGAGAUUUAUCAAAUUAGGUGUGGUCUGGAUUUAGUUGUCUUUUUUUCUCCUGUAUCCUUUUUCCCUUUACUGUAGCUCGCUCUUUCAUUUCCUUUACUGUGCUUACUUGCUGGAUGAAAAUGUUGAAAACAUGCCACCUUCUGUUCUUUUCAGCUAUUGCACAGCCCAAAGAAAAUUUAUAACCCCUGGAAACUUGUGUAAGAUAUGUGCACAUCUGUGCAUAGAUACAGGCAGACACAUGCACACUCGUGUAAACCUACAUAUGCACAUAGCUCUGAAAUCUGUCUAUCUAUCUAAAUCUCUUUACUCACAGGCUUUUCUUUAGUUACAAGGUUUGCUCUCCAGCUGUUAGAAUAAAUGUACUCACUAAAAGGUUUUCAAGGAAACCAGAAAUUAGGCCACUGUUGACCACUGUCACUGGAAAGUGAAGAGAGAUGAGGAAGGUGUUCACAUUUCCCUUCAGAGCUGCUCUGGGAAAAUCUCCCUCCUCUCAUUUCACUGAUGCAGCAAUGCUGAAGAGAUUGUGCCAGGGCACCCUGGGUAUCCUCACUUGCACUCACUACAACGAAAGACAGUGCUGUGGGGGGAUGGAAACAGCUCCAGCCCCACAGUUUUGCUUUUGUUCUUCUUGACCUUCAACGCAAAUUUUUGUAUGGCUGAUUAUUCCUUUUCCCAAAAAACCUCAAUGAAAAACACCACAAGGGAAUUUCUUAUGCCACAGCUCGUCUACAAGUUUAUCCCAUUAUCUUAGUCUUCUGCUAUUUCAAAUACAGCUCAGCUGUAUGGGUAUGAGCAUAUUCCUCUGCACAGAUUUUUCCACCCACGCUUCUUCUAUUGCCAUUUAAGGAAUCUCCACAACUAAAGAUAAACUUGGACUGGCAAGGCCAGGCUGACCCUCCAAAUUCCAAGCGUCAUAGGACUGGGAUCCACAGCUCAUGUACGAGCAUCCUGUGUUGUGGAGAAGAACCACCUGAUGAUGUGGUAAUGCGGAGCUGACUCCCCGUUACUCCACGUACCAGUCUGGUAGGUGGAAGCCUGGGGUCUCAGAAAGCAGGGCUGGCCAUUGCACAGUCCUUCAGGGGAGCUGCUGGCGGUGCAGAGCACAGCUGCCCACUGGAUGGCACCAAGACUCUGUUCGAGUGUGUGCACUCCUCUCCAGCCUCCCUGAGCCAUCCCAUCCAUCACUGGGAUAAGGGAUGCUUUGCAAACAGGCAAAGCAAGGCUCUGGGAGCGAGAUGAUAGGGGGAAAUUACAGAUGUGAAAGUUGUGCAUGAUGCUGUCACGGCUAACAUCUUUAAAGGAGCAAAGAAUCUUUUAUAGUCUGUAACCGAGAUGGGAAUAUUCUGCAGAGUACUGUAAGUUCCUAUCCAUACAAGCUGCUGUUUCCAAACAAUCGCAUGGAGAAUAAUUACAGGUGUGGAAUACACUUCUCUAACUGUAGGAUAGAGGGAAAAGCAUUACAUUUUUUUAACUAUGUUUUUAAAAUUCUUACUUCUUGCACUUCAGGCUACAGCAACAGCAAUAUAUAAAUGCUGCAGGCUGUGCGGAUUGUGGCUGCAAGAUUCCAUGUCCUAAAGUAUAUUGACAUCCCACAUGUGAGCCAGGUCAGAGGGAUUAAUGCUGCCGCUGUGAGUCAAUGCUUUUUGAUCCCUCAGUGGAGAAUGCAUGCAGCAAACUUACGGCAGAUAUUUAUAGAAUAAUGUACAAGUUAAUACUCUUCUCCACAGCCACUGGAGCUGGGCUUGCUGCCUAAAUGUAUAUCUGCAGUGUAUUUACUGAAGCCAAGAAGCUUUACAGAAGUCAUCAAAGAAAAGGGAGCUGUUUGGAAAUUUAGGGAUCCAUUACAUUAUGUUGCAAUUCCUAAUGUUCUCUGAUGACUGUGUCUUUAUUUUUUUAAUCACUGCUCAGGCAGAAGUGUAAAACCCCAUGAAACAGAAGCCAGCCCCAGAUAUAAAGAAACUGCUGCUGGUGAGGCCAAGCUGAUUUUUGCCUUCUUCUUUUGGUGUACUCUCUCUUAUUUUUUACAUAUAGAGUAAUUUCACAAUUAUAAGCCGCACCAUUUUGGCUAAAAUUUUGGUCCGAACCCAAAGUGCGGC
This is a long non-coding RNA of Catharus ustulatus (Swainson's thrush), 2856 nucleotides long. RefSeq lists it as uncharacterized. The record is from RefSeq and is a predicted model, not a curated record. The transcript is spliced from 3 exons. NCBI's taxonomy places the organism in Eukaryota, Metazoa, Chordata, Aves, Passeriformes, Turdidae.